Molecule: long non-coding RNA, 1146 nt
Organism: Solanum tuberosum (potato)
Lineage: Eukaryota; Viridiplantae; Streptophyta; Magnoliopsida; Solanales; Solanaceae
Exons: 4
Source: RefSeq, a predicted model, not a curated record
GUAUACACACAACUCUUAUACAACCACUCUUCUUCUCAAAGUUUCUCGGUUUUCUCACCCUUCGCUCAACUUCUCAUAGAAAUUCUUCAAAUUUUCAAUCUCAAAUUUGUUAAAUCGCUACUCAUAUCACCAACCCUAAUCAAGUAUGGGCUCAAUUUCCUUUUAGAUUGUAUUUUUUUGUCAGAUUUUACCUCUUUUUCUUUCACCCAUUCAUAAAUAUGUAGAAGUUAGAAGCGGUUUGAAGGUUUAAGGCAAAAGAUUCUCGAAAAUCUAUAGAUAUCAGAAGUUGUUUGAAGGUUUUAAGAAGAAAGGUUGGAAGUUUGAUAAUCACUGCGAGCUUUUGAUGUUUUCGAUGUUUUGAAGUUGUUCAAAGGCUUGUAAGAAAAUGAAAGGAACUGGCAGAGGACGAGGACAAGGUAAAAGUGGAAGAGAUGGUGUAGGAAGUGGAUGUGGUAAUUUUUUAGAACACAAAAGUUUAUGAACUACGUCUCAACCACAAAUAUAACCAAUAAGAGUUGUUGAAAUAUCAUUAGAGACUGGACAAUAACCUAACCCAAUUCAAGGACGUCUAUAGGCAGAACAAAUAUCAAGUGCCCCUCUCCAAAGAACAUCUCCCCAGAUAUGAUCAUCAAGAAAUCUAGAAGAAAGUAUGCAACCCUCCCUAGAGGUUGAAACUGGUAUAGCAGUGCUUGUUGGCAAAGUGAUAGCAAACAUAGAGGCUAGUGUGUCUUCAACAACGAAAAGUAUGCGUCAAUAGGUGCAAGUUGAUAUGAACCGAAAGUUGCAAGAAGAACGUGAACAAAUGACUGCCGAUUUAAAAAGGAAUAUGGAAGAAGAUUUGCAAAAACAAUUGGAAGGGAACAUGAACACAUGAAAGGUGAAGUAGACAAGAUGUUCCAAGAACAAAUGGCCGCUGUCAUGACUAGAAUUCAACAGGGACAAGUUUAUUAAACAAGGGGCCAAUCAAGAAGAAGGUUGAAGGCGUACACUGGAAGUUUUUGCUUUUUGACCAUAAAUAUAUAUACAAUGGAAGUAUUUUUGGUUUUGGUUAUAUAUAUAUAUAUAUAACAACUGAAGUACUACUAUGCAGUUGAAUUUUUGGUAUUUAUAAUAUUUGACUUAAGAAUGCUUUUGUAUUAAUUUUGU